Molecule: long non-coding RNA, 1019 nt
Organism: Carassius carassius (crucian carp)
Lineage: Eukaryota; Metazoa; Chordata; Actinopteri; Cypriniformes; Cyprinidae
Exons: 3
Source: RefSeq, a predicted model, not a curated record
UUUACUUUAUCUCAAGACCACUGAUUAACCAAGAUGAUAUAUGGACAGACAGACGCACUACACUUCCAAACUAAAAGUGGAGAAGAGCAAUUGAUCCGUGUCAGUGCACACCACCUGAAAAGAAACACAGUUAACAUAUAUGGGAGGAUACAAGGUUGAUUGACAGGUGCAUGUGGCCUCGUAAGGGAGUUUCAAAAAUGGAUUGCCACUGAUCACGGUUAUAAUUUAUUAUAAGCAAGCUGAGUAGUUUACAAGUAACAUGCAGAUUUUUGUAUUCCAAAUUGAAAGAAAAUUGUUAAAUAUAUUCCAUGUAGUCUCUCUGUUGAUAUAAGUGCAUGAAAACCUUAUGUAUAAUAUUUUUCAAAAAGUUUAUUUUUCAUUUCAUAGAUGAUGGUGUAUAGCAGGGCAUAUUGCAGGACACUAUAUGUAGUUUUGUUACAAAAUUUUAUAAAGGAUGUAAUGUACAUUUGCAGUGACAUCUGAGUCUUAUUAUAGGACUCAGUAUGUCUCAGAAUGUGUGUUUAUUCUUAUAUCAGCAAUCCCCUCCCAUUUGGCAGUUAUUAUAGUUAAAUAUACAUGCACACUACCAGACUCAAAUAUUUAGCCACAUAGUUUAUUACAGAUCACAGCAAAUACCGUACAUAAGCAGAAUUAUUACUUUUGCACAGGUUGCUUGUAAUCAGCUCAUUGAAAAUAUGUGUAUCACCAAUCUAAGACAAACAAGCAUGAUUGGACUGUGAUAGACAGGUGUGCUUACAUCUCUUCUAAAAACAUUAGCCCACAUAGGAAGAAUGUCAGGGGCUGUGCUGCUUUAAUUACCCUCACACUCUCAUCAUUCCCUUCCUGCCCCCUCUCUCACCCCCAUCUCACCUUAAAAUCUGUGCCACAACACAAAAUUUUAUUAGCAUUCUCAAAAACAGAUGCAGUUGUUUUCAAUCAAGCGGAAAUGCAUGGAUGACUCAGUCUUGCAAAGUGAAUCCGCCCAUUUACCAUGACAACCUUUUUCACCAGGGACAUAG